UUAUAGACGUUGAAGAGGAAUAGUAGUUUAGCAAAGCGUUUCAGAGAGAGAGCGGUUGGUGCGAGCUCUUACGAUAGCUAAGUGAACCUGCCUUGGAGUCCUGUGUGAAAACAUUUUUGCGAUGGUGCGUAAACACAGCGUUUCCCGCGUUAAGGGUGUCAAUGAAGUGAAAUCUGCUAAUUGGAUGCAGAUUUAAAUAGGGUGGUACCGCCGACUAGCCUUCGGUCCCUGUU
This 233-nucleotide non-coding RNA is filed under the name Butyrivibrio proteoclasticus. RNAcentral's name for it is "T-box sequence". It matches the Rfam family "T-box leader". Rfam says of the family: Uncharged tRNA acts as the effector for transcription antitermination of genes in the T-box leader family. T-boxes are found upstream of many aminoacyl-tRNA synthetase genes and some amino acid biosynthetic genes usually in Gram-positive bacteria. The anticodon of a specific tRNA base pairs to a specifier sequence within the T-box motif, and the NCCA acceptor tail of the tRNA base pairs to a conserved bulge in the T-box antiterminator hairpin. Lineage: Bacteria; Bacillati; Bacillota; Clostridia; Lachnospirales; Lachnospiraceae. The record is from RNAcentral.